CUCGCUGUAAGGGUUGAGUCUGGCAGACCCCAGGGUCUUGCUCUGGGGCUGUUCUGGCUGCCCCAGAACUCAUCAUGUAACCCAACCCAGCCUUGUAACUCAAACACGGCAAUUCUCCUGUUCCAGUCUCCUAAUUUCUGGGAUUAAAGAAACAUUUCCAGAAAGGCCAUCCAUUCUCAAUUAUGCAGCUGAUGGUGCAUGCCUGGGAUACCAGCUACUCGGGAAACUGAACCUGGAAGACUACAUGAUCAAGGAAUGCCCGGGCUAUGGUGUGAAGCCAAGGCCAGCCUAGGUGAUUUAGUAAUACAUAAAAAUAAUUUUUAUUGAUAAAACAAUAAGUAAAUAAGCCCGCAAAUAAAAAGUAAAUGGCAUUAGAGAUAUAGCUUGGGGGUUUGUUCAGUCACCACCACUUGAGGACACAACAAACAGGACUGGGGAACUGGAAGUCGAACCCCACAGGCAGACAGAACAGUUCAACGAUGAGUCCUUAAGCAAGACUUUAGCUUCAACUAUUCGUCCAGUAAGUAUUAAGCCCCUGAAAUAUGUUGUUGCAAAGAAACAUGGGGAAACAUGCUAGAGAAGACUCUUCCCAUAAUUAUGGAAAAUAAAGGCUUCACUUUAAUCUUUUGUGCUAAACUAAUUUGAGCUAUCCAGAAAAAACAAACAAACAAACAAAAAAGAUCAUAGAUGCUAGCAAAACUAUUCUAGAUCUAGUAUGAGUGGAAGACCUUAAGUCAGUGUAUCUACCUAGCUCUAAAAUGGGUCUGUGAUGGUGGGGGCAUUGGUCAGGGAUUCCUUAUUUCUGUAAUUGAGAAAGAAAACCUCCGUCAGUAACUGUGAGUUAUAUUAUCAUUUAUUUUGUCACUAAGUGUACACGGGCCAGUCCAUGGAGCCACUCUUGAGACUCUCUGCACCCUGGGGCUUUCUCUACUACUACUGGAUAGUUUCUUGUAACAAGUUGAGAUCUUCCAGGUAGCAAUCUGUGUGUGAGGCAGCUCAUCAGCAGUUUAGGGUGACAUUAAACGUGGUGUCUGUAGCUGGACAUAGCAGCACACAUUGAUAAAACCAAUUAUAGGGAGAACCAAGCCAUCAGCCUGGACUAGAUGGCCAGUUUCUGUCCAACCUAGACUACAUGGUGAAUUUCUGGCCAACCUGGACUACGUGGUGAGACCAAGUCUUUAAAAAUCUAUGAUUUAAAAACAGAUAAGUAUGUAGGUAGAUAGAUAGCUAGGUGAUAGCUAGAUAGGUAAAUAGAUGACAGAUGAUAGAAAAAUAGAUAGAUAGAUAGAUAGAUAGAUAGAUAGAUAGAUAGAUAGACAGACAGAUAGACAGACUGAUUAGAUAGAUAAAACAUGGGCUUAUUGUACCCACAGCACCACAUAUGAAAUACCCAGGGCUCUAACAACAAAAUUCAAAGCAACCUGCAUGACGAGACCCUGAUUUUGACAAGCUGGGAAUGAUGGGAAG
Molecule: long non-coding RNA, 1467 nt
Filed under: Mus musculus (house mouse)
Lineage: Eukaryota; Metazoa; Chordata; Mammalia; Rodentia; Muridae
Description: lincRNA-EC46
Source: RNAcentral